AAGCGGUGAGUGCUUUGGGGUGGGGUGACUGCGUACCUUUUGUAUAAUGGGUCAGCGACUUAUAUUCUGUAGCAAGGUUAACCGUAUAGGGGAGCCGAAGGGAAACCGAGUCUUAACUGGGCGUUAAGUUGCAGGGUAUAGACCCGAAACCCGGUGAUCUAGCCAUGGGCAGGUUGAAGGUUGGGUAACACUAACUGGAGGACCGAACCGACUAAUGUUGAAAAAUUAGCGGAUGACUUGUGGCUGGGGGUGAAAGGCCAAUCAAACCGGGAGAUAGCUGGUUCUCCCCGAAAGCUAUUUAGGUAGCGCCUCGUGAACUCAUCUUCGGGGGUAGAGCACUGUUUCGGCUAGGGGGUCAUCCCGACUUACCAACCCGAUGCAAACUGCGAAUACCGAAGAAUGUUAUCACGGGAGACACACGGCGGGUGCUAACGUCCGUCGUGAAGAGGGAAACAACCCAGACCGCCAGCUAAGGUCCCAAAGUCACAGUUAAGUGGGAAACGAUGUGGGAAGGCUCAGACAGCCAGGAUGUUGGCUUAGAAGCAGCCAUCAUUUAAAGAAAGCGUAAUAGCUCACUGGUCGAGUCGGCCUGCGCGGAAGAUGUAACGGGGCUAAACUGUGCACCGAAGCUGCGGCAGCGACGCU
RNAcentral lists this ribosomal RNA (645 nucleotides) under Salmonella enterica subsp. enterica serovar Kentucky. Its description in RNAcentral is "partial 23S ribosomal RNA". It matches the Rfam family "Bacterial large subunit ribosomal RNA", at positions 568 to 1215 of the family's 2925-position model. Lineage: Bacteria; Pseudomonadati; Pseudomonadota; Gammaproteobacteria; Enterobacterales; Enterobacteriaceae. The record is from RNAcentral.